GUUCACAUUAUAGCAAUCAAAUCAAUUCAAACAAAUCUUAAACUCUUGUGUGAUCUG
Molecule: non-coding RNA, 57 nt
Filed under: Heterostelium album PN500
Lineage: Eukaryota; Evosea; Eumycetozoa; Acytosteliales; Acytosteliaceae
Source: Rfam by way of RNAcentral